RNAcentral lists this unclassified non-coding RNA (479 nucleotides) under Gymnosperma glutinosum. Its description in RNAcentral is "partial external transcribed spacer". Lineage: Eukaryota; Viridiplantae; Streptophyta; Magnoliopsida; Asterales; Asteraceae. The record is from RNAcentral.
CCGUGCAUGAGUGGUGUUUGGUUUGAUACGGGUGGUYGGCUCCCUGCUUGAGCAGGCACGGCCACGCGUGCAUUCCUUUUCAGCUGUGCGACAAGGCUUGUAUCGUCUUGAUCGUAUAAGUGGGUUUCCUGUGUUGCAUACCUGAUCAAUGGCAUCGUCUUGAUCAAAAGUGUGUAUUUUUCGUCUGGCAAUGCACCURCAUUGUCGGAUGAACCCCGUAGCAUCCUCUUUGAUCCAUACAGUUGACGUACUUUUGUUGAUUGUUUGGCCCAUUGAGGGUGACUCGGUCUCUCGGAUAUGGAAGCCAAAGUGGGCAUGGGGUCGCAAGAUCUCUUUAUUGUCCUCAUUGAGCGUUCUCACUUCUCUCUCAAGACCGCCUUACGCGUAUGGCACGUCUCAGCGUGUUUGGCUACGUCGAAGAGGGAUGUUGGGCGUUCUUGCUUUUCUUACACGACUGCCUUUCACGUAUGGCACGUCCC